AGCAUGCUUAACAUGAAUAAGUAUGUAGAAGGACACCGGGAAAGUUGUAAAUCAGCCGCCUGGCGGGUCGAAAAGAGAGAAAAGUGGACACGGAUGGGACGGAAAAGAACGUGUUUUUUGCAGCUUUUGCCCUCCGUUCACGUAAGC
Molecule: non-coding RNA, 147 nt
Organism: Caenorhabditis elegans
Lineage: Eukaryota; Metazoa; Nematoda; Chromadorea; Rhabditida; Rhabditidae
Source: Ensembl